GCAUAGGUUUGGAUUUAUGGCAGGCCUGUAAUCCUGGGCCUGUCGUAGUGUCCUGUGCUAGAGCAACCCAUGGCCCUGAACCAUUCAUUGCCUGGCCUCUGCCUGUAGGCUACUGGCACUGAAGUAAGUCGAACAGUA
This is a small nucleolar RNA of Onychomys torridus (southern grasshopper mouse), 138 nucleotides long. RefSeq annotates it as small nucleolar RNA SNORA42/SNORA80 family. Lineage: Eukaryota; Metazoa; Chordata; Mammalia; Rodentia; Cricetidae. The transcript has a single exon. The record is from RefSeq and is a predicted model, not a curated record.